AAAGGAAUUGACGGGGGCCCGCACAAGCGGUGGAGCAUGUGGUUUAAUUCGACGCAACGCGAAGAACCUUACCAGGGCUUGACAUCCUCAGGAUCCUGUGGAAACAUGGGAGUGCCCUUUUGGGAGCUGAGAGACAGGUGGUGCAUGGUUGUCGUCAGCUCGUGUCGUGAGAUGUUGGGUUAAGUCCCGCAACGAGCGCAACCCCUAUAUUCAGUUGCCAGCACGUAAAGGUGGGAACUCUGGAUAGACUGCCGGUGAUAAACCGGAGGAAGGUGGGGAUGACGUCAAAUCAUCAUGCCCCUUAUGUUCUGGGCUACACACGUGCUACAAUGGCCGGUACAGACGGAGGCGAAGCCGCGAGGUGGAGCAAAUCCGAGAAAGCCGGUCCCAGUUCGGAUUGUUCUCUGCAACUCGAGAGCAUGAAGUCGGAAUCGCUAGUAAUCGCAGGUCAGCAUACUGCGGUGAAUACGUUCCCGGGCCUUGUACACACCGCCCGU
RNAcentral lists this ribosomal RNA (497 nucleotides) under uncultured bacterium. Its description in RNAcentral is "bacterial SSU rRNA". It matches the Rfam family "Bacterial small subunit ribosomal RNA", at positions 903 to 1397 of the family's 1533-position model. The record is from RNAcentral.